GAUGAACGCUAGCGGGAGGCCUAACACAUGCAAGCCGAGCGGUAUUGUUUCUUCGGAAAUGAGAGAGCGGCGUACGGGUGCGUAACACGUGUGCAACCUGCCUUUAUCUGGGGGAUAGCCUUUCGAAAGGAAGAUUAAUACUCCAUAAUAUAUUUAACGGCAUCGUUUAAUAUUGAAAGCUCCGGCGGAUAGAGAUGGGCACGCGCAAGAUUAGCUAGUUGGUGAGGUAACGGCUCACCAAGGUGAUGAUCUUUAGGGGGCCUGAGAGGGUGAUCCCCCACACUGGUACUGAGCCACGGACCAGACUCCUACGGGAGGCAGCAGUGAGGAAUAUUGGUCAAUGGGUGCAAGCCUGAACCAGCCAUCCCGCGUGAAGGACGACUGCCCUAUGGGUUGUAAACUUCUUUUGUAUAGGGAUAAACCUACCCUCGAGAGGGUAGCUGAAGGUACUAUACGAAUAAGCACCGGCUAACUCCGU
Molecule: ribosomal RNA, 478 nt
Filed under: uncultured bacterium
Lineage: Bacteria
Description: partial 16S ribosomal RNA
Rfam family: Bacterial small subunit ribosomal RNA
Source: RNAcentral